This 470-nucleotide ribosomal RNA is filed under the name uncultured bacterium. RNAcentral describes it as "bacterial SSU rRNA". It matches the Rfam family "Bacterial small subunit ribosomal RNA", at positions 46 to 507 of the family's 1533-position model. The record is from RNAcentral.
GCCUUACACAUGCAAGUCGAACGGCAGCACGGGAGCAAUCCUGGUGGCGAGUGGCGAACGGGUGAGUAAUAUAUCGGAACGUCGCCCAGUCGGUGGGGGAUAACGUAGCGAAAGCUACGCUAAUACCGCAUACGUCCGUACGGGAGAAAGCGGGGGAUCUUCGGACCUCGCGCCAUUAGAUGAGCCUAGGUCGGAUUAGCUAGUUGGUGAGGUAAUGGCUCACCAAGGCGACGAUCCGUAACUGGUCUGAGAGGAUGAUCAGUCACACUGGAACUGAGACACGGUCCAGACUCCUACGGGGAGGCAGCAGUGGGGAAUAUUGGACAAUGGGCGAAAGCCUGAUCCAGCCAUGCCGCGUGUGUGAAGAAGGUCUUCGGAUUGUAAAGCACUUUAAGUUGGGAGGAAGGGUAGUAACCUAAUACGUUGCUACUUUGACGUUACCGACAGAAUAAGCACCGGCUAACUUCGUG